Molecule: transfer RNA, 76 nt
Filed under: Rubrivivax sp.
Lineage: Bacteria; Pseudomonadati; Pseudomonadota; Betaproteobacteria; Burkholderiales; Sphaerotilaceae
Also listed under: 76 other names
Description: tRNA-Lys
Rfam family: tRNA
About the family: Transfer RNA (tRNA) molecules are approximately 80 nucleotides in length.
Source: RNAcentral
GGGUCGUUAGCUCAGUCGGUAGAGCAGCGGACUUUUAAUCCGUUGGUCGCAGGUUCGAAUCCUGCACGACCCACCA